Molecule: ribosomal RNA, 320 nt
Filed under: uncultured eukaryote
Lineage: Eukaryota
Description: partial 18S ribosomal RNA
Rfam family: Eukaryotic small subunit ribosomal RNA
Source: RNAcentral
CCCUUAGAUGUUCUGGGCUGCACGCGCGCUACACUGAUGCGUUCAACGAGUUUAUCACCUUGCCCGAUAGGGUUGGGUAAUCUUUUGAAAACGCAUCGUGAUGGGGAUAGAUUAUUGUAAUUAUUAAUCUUCAACGAGGAAUUCCUAGUAAGUGCGAAUCAUCAGUUCGCGCUGAUUACGUCCCUGCCCUUUGUACACACCGCCCGUCGCUCCUACUGAUUGGGUGAUCCGGUGAGCUGUUCGGCCAUAGCAAUGUUUCUUGAGCAGGGCAAUGAAUGUUUCGCAAACCUCGCCACUUAGAGGAAGGAGAAGUCGUAACA